RNAcentral lists this ribosomal RNA (1109 nucleotides) under Klebsiella sp. RNAcentral's name for it is "bacterial SSU rRNA". It matches the Rfam family "Bacterial small subunit ribosomal RNA", at positions 61 to 1162 of the family's 1533-position model. The record is from RNAcentral. Lineage: Bacteria; Pseudomonadati; Pseudomonadota; Gammaproteobacteria; Enterobacterales; Enterobacteriaceae.
GUCGAGCGGUAGCACAGAGAGCUUGCUCUCGGGUGACGAGCGGCGGACGGGUGAGUAAUGUCUGGGAAACUGCCUGAUGGAGGGGGAUAACUACUGGAAACGGUAGCUAAUACCGCAUAACGUCGCAAGACCAAAGUGGGGGACCUUCGGGCCUCAUGCCAUCAGAUGUGCCCAGAUGGGAUUAGCUAGUAGGUGGGGUAACGGCUCACCUAGGCGACGAUCCCUAGCUGGUCUGAGAGGAUGACCAGCCACACUGGAACUGAGACACGGUCCAGACUCCUACGGGAGGCAGCAGUGGGGAAUAUUGCACAAUGGGCGCAAGCCUGAUGCAGCCAUGCCGCGUGUGUGAAGAAGGCCUUCGGGUUGUAAAGUACUUUCAGCGGGGAGGAAGGCGAUAAGGUUAAUAACCUUGUCGAUUGACGUUACCCGCAGAAGAAGCACCGGCUAACUCCGUGCCAGCAGCCGCGGUAAUACGGAGGGUGCAAGCGUUAAUCGGAAUUACUGGGCGUAAAGCGCACGCAGGCGGUCUGUCAAGUCGGAUGUGAAAUCCCCGGGCUCAACCUGGGAACUGCAUUCGAAACUGGCAGGCUAGAGUCUUGUAGAGGGGGGUAGAAUUCCAGGUGUAGCGGUGAAAUGCGUAGAGAUCUGGAGGAAUACCGGUGGCGAAGGCGGCCCCCUGGACAAAGACUGACGCUCAGGUGCGAAAGCGUGGGGAGCAAACAGGAUUAGAUACCCUGGUAGUCCACGCCGUAAACGAUGUCGAUUUGGAGGUUGUGCCCUUGAGGCGUGGCUUCCGGAGCUAACGCGUUAAAUCGACCGCCUGGGGAGUACGGCCGCAAGGUUAAAACUCAAAUGAAUUGACGGGGGCCCGCACAAGCGGUGGAGCAUGUGGUUUAAUUCGAUGCAACGCGAAGAACCUUACCUGGUCUUGACAUCCACAGAACUUACCAGAGAUGCUUUGGUGCCUUCGGGAACUGUGAGACAGGUGCUGCAUGGCUGUCGUCAGCUCGUGUUGUGAAAUGUUGGGUUAAGUCCCGCAACGAGCGCAACCCUUAUCCUUUGUUGCCAGCGGUUCGGCCGGGAACUCAAAGGAAACUGCCAGUGAUAAA